RNAcentral lists this ribosomal RNA (468 nucleotides) under uncultured bacterium. RNAcentral's name for it is "partial 16S ribosomal RNA". It matches the Rfam family "Bacterial small subunit ribosomal RNA", at positions 28 to 507 of the family's 1533-position model. The record is from RNAcentral.
GACGAACGCUGGCGGCGUGCUUAACACAUGCAAGUCGAACGGAAAGGCCCUGCUUUUGUGGGGUGCUCGAGUGGCGAACGGGUGAGUAACACGUGAGUAACCUGCCCUUGACUUUGGGAUAACUUCAGGAAACUGGGGCUAAUACCGGAUAGGAGCUCCUGCUGCAUGUUUGGUGUCGGAAAGUUUCGGCGGUUGGGGAUGGACUCGCGGCUUAUCAUCUUGUUGGUGGGGUAGUGGCUUACCAAGGCUUUGACGGGUAGCCGGCCUGAGAGGGUGACCGGCCACAUUGGGACUGAGAUACGGCCCAGAAUCCAACGGGAGGAAGGAGUGGGGAAUAUUGCACAAUGGGCGGAAGCCGGAUGCAGCAACGCCGCGUGCGGGAUGACGGCCUUCGGGUUGUAAAACGCUUUCGCCUGUGACGAAGCGUGAGUGACGGUAAUGGGUAAAGAAGCACCGGCUAACUACGUG